Molecule: long non-coding RNA, 283 nt
Filed under: Prunus persica (peach)
Lineage: Eukaryota; Viridiplantae; Streptophyta; Magnoliopsida; Rosales; Rosaceae
Description: long non-coding RNA (PPER_LNC003432)
Source: RNAcentral
AAAUUCAAUGGCUAAUACUAUGCAAUACCCCAACCACUCCAUUUAAGGAACAAACUUCAUACGAACUUGAAUUGUCCAAUUUCAUUGGCCAAUCGAUAUCGGAUUGGGCCCAAAACCUAGUCAACAUCAUAAUAUACGGGCAGAAGCCAUUUGGUGAUUUUUGAGUGAAAUCCAAUGGCUAAAACUAUGCAAUACCCCAACCACUCCAUUUACAUAACGCACUUCGUACAAACUUGAAUUAUCCAGUCUUAUUAGCCAAUCGAUAUCGGAUUGAGCCCAAAAC